GCAUAAAAAAGAGGAAAGUCUGGACUACCGAGAUUAGGAUUCCAUUUAACAAAUGGCUAUCGCAAGAUAAGGGAAAGUGCAACAGAAAGCAAACCGCUUUAUUUGCGCUUUUUAGUGCAAAUCAAGUAAGGGUGAAAGGGUGAGGUAAGAGCUUACCGAGCCUUAAGCAAUUAGGGCUGCAUUGCAAACCCAAUCCGUAGCAAGAAUGGCAGGUUAAAAAUCUCACAUUUUAGCCAUUCGCUUUAUGCGCGUUGUGAAAUGCGUUUUUAGAUAAAUAGUCGCUAGUGCGAUUCGCGCCAUAAAGCGCGGAUUUGCAUACAGAAUCCAGCUUACAGCUAC
RNAcentral lists this RNase P RNA (339 nucleotides) under human gut metagenome. RNAcentral's name for it is "Bacterial RNase P class A". It matches the Rfam family "Bacterial RNase P class A", at positions 33 to 354 of the family's 367-position model. From Rfam's summary of the family: Ribonuclease P (RNase P) is a ubiquitous endoribonuclease, found in archaea, bacteria and eukarya as well as chloroplasts and mitochondria. Its best characterised activity is the generation of mature 5'-ends of tRNAs by cleaving the 5'-leader elements of precursor-tRNAs. The record is from RNAcentral.